Pygocentrus nattereri (red-bellied piranha) is the source of this 1361-nucleotide long non-coding RNA. NCBI's taxonomy places the organism in Eukaryota, Metazoa, Chordata, Actinopteri, Characiformes, Serrasalmidae. The record is from Ensembl.
UUUGCAGACUACUUCCUGUUCAUUCCAUUUUACUAAAAACAAGAGAGAAGGUGUCACGACUGCCCGUAACAGGAGAGACACUCGCUGAUGGAUAUUACAAGGUUUAAUUUAAUAGGGCAAUACAAGAUAAUCGUAAGGGACCGGCAGGGUCAAAAACAACAACAACAACAACAACAGCAGCAACAUAGACAUACCAGAGGGGAGUCGGACUGAAGAAAGGUCGGUACACGGGAGAGCAAAAACCAGAAUCUAAUUGCCCUCCUGCAGUUCCUUCUGAAUGUGACUGCAGGCAGUGUUGGCUGAUACUGCAGACUGUGUGUCCAGCGUGUACCAUUCUAUCAGCUCUACUGUCCUCUCUGUGUGUGUUCUUCUGCUGCCGCAAGACAGUGAUUAUGGAGUCUGACAGUGAUCAGAGAGGACCAAUCCACAGGCAGCAAACCAGUGAGGAACAGGACAAAGACACACAAGUGUACUACGCUUCACUGAACAUUCCCAAAGAUGCAAGCAGACGGAUCAAGAGGAACCCCCCAAUGAACCCUGACUUCAGUUUGUACAGUGAGCUCAAUAAGGCCAAAAAGGAACAAGAUUAGGGCUUUAGAUGUGAUUAAUACGUCCAUCAAGAUUUCACUUAGUUUUUUCUUAAAUUUGUUCUUGAGAAAGGUCCUAAGAAAAAGUCUACGUCAGAUUCAUGAUGUGUUCUUCAACCGCAGAACACACAUGGUUCACACUUUUGUGCUCUUGAGUGUGUGUAGAUUCUGUUCUUACCAAAAAACAAAGAAAACAAGGUGGGCUUUAAGAAGAAAUUUCUUCUUACGAAUGGUUGGUGAAUGAGACCCAUUGUUAGCCAGGAGAAUUAAUGUUAAAUCCACAUGUAAUCUUUUCUGCAACAUUAACAAUGGAAGGAAUUUUUGCUUUUUUUUUUGGUCUUGCUGAAUUGAAGUGGAACAUAGAGAGGCUAUUUCUUUAAAUGCUUUAUACAUAUAAAAUGUGGCUUUUUUCCAGGCACAUUUAUUACUAAAGGCAGAUUUUGCUCACUGGCUGAUUUAUAGUUUAAAGCCAAGGCACCCUAUUUAGACUUUAUAACACUUCACCAAUUCUCUUAAAUUCUAUGUUCAAUUUUUCAGUUUUUUUAUUUGAUCUUUUUAUUCUUUCUUACAUUGCUUUGUUAAUGCCUUGUGCUUUGUGUGCUGCUUCAUGUAAAAUGCUAAUUAAAAGUUUACAAAAUGUAUGAAGCUGAUUAAGCAAUGCUUUUCCAAUUUUAUACGUCCUGAAGAAGCGUUGAAUUAGGAUUCAAAGCAUAAUGUCUGUAGCAUCAUGGAGCUAUGGUCUGUUUGUAGACCUUCAAUGCAAACUGAUGGAGC